Small nuclear RNA from Cricetulus griseus (Chinese hamster), 135 nucleotides. Its record names the gene U4. It matches the Rfam family "U4 spliceosomal RNA". From Rfam's summary of the family: U4 small nuclear RNA (U4 snRNA) is a component of the major U2-dependent spliceosome. The structure of U4 snRNA from yeast and human has been reported. NCBI's taxonomy places the organism in Eukaryota, Metazoa, Chordata, Mammalia, Rodentia, Cricetidae. The record is from Ensembl.
AGCUUUGGGCAGUGGCAGUACUGUAACCAAUGAGGUUUAUCCUAGGAGUGAUUAUUGCUAACUGAAAUAUAUUUUUUGAAUUUUUUUCUUGUAACAAGUGUUCUAAGUAUCAGUAUAAACACAAACUGUAAAGUU